UUCACGGAGAGUUUGAUCCUGGCUCAGGACGAACGCUGGCGGCGUGCUUAACACAUGCAAGUGGAGCGACGAACCAGGCUUCGGCCUGGGGCAGAGCCGCGAACGGGUGAGUAACACGUGGGUAAC
Molecule: ribosomal RNA, 126 nt
Filed under: Thermoleophilaceae bacterium
Lineage: Bacteria; Bacillati; Actinomycetota; Thermoleophilia; Thermoleophilales; Thermoleophilaceae
Description: partial 16S ribosomal RNA
Rfam family: Bacterial small subunit ribosomal RNA
Source: RNAcentral